AUGACAUCAUUGGCCAACCUCUUAGUAUCGCUUCUACUGAUUACCACCUUCUCUCUUGCACCCAUACGCUGCUAUGUUAAUCGAGCAGAUGUAAGGGUACAACACGGUGCCAAUAAUAAGUCUGUCCACCACACUUACAUUGUGCUCGUCGAGCCACCGCCCUCUCCCUCGCCCUCGAAUGUUGACGAAGACAUGUACCGUCAUUGGUACGAGUCUUUCUUGCCCAAAUCACGCGAUGGUGACUCGGGAAAGUCACCUCUUCUGCACUCCUACACCGAGGUGUUCAGCGGCUUCGCCGCAAAGCUCACUGAUCGGGAGCUCAAUGCAGUUGCGAAGAAUCCAGGGUUCGUGCGUGCGUUCAGGGACCAAACACGGUACCUCAUGACCACACACACUCCAAAGUUUCUUGGGCUCAGGAAGGGCACCGGCAUCUGGAGCGACGCGGACUAUGGGAAGGGAGUCAUCAUUGGGUUGCUUGAUAGUGGCAUCUAUGCGGAGCACCCUUCGUUUGAUGGUGAAAACAUCGCAACGCCACCAGCAAGGUGGAAGGGAUCAUGCAUGGCGACCCGGUGCAACAACAAGCUCAUCGGUGCACAGUCAUUCCUCGAAGAAGAUGAUGACCCUAGCAACCAACAGGGGCAUGGGACGCACACCUCAUCCACGGCAGCCGGUAACUUCGUCACCGGCGCGUCGUAUCAUGGUAUGGGAGCGGGCACCGCAUCAGGAGUUGCUCCUGGUGCCCACAUCGCCAUGUACAAGGUGUGCGCUGAUGGAGAAUGUAAUGAUUCCGCCAUAGUGUCCGGCCUCGACGCAGCCAUCAAGGAUGGGGUGGACGUGCUCUCACUCUCCAUUGGCCAUCUUGGCAGCCUCAGGUUCGAUAAAGACCCCAUCGCCAUCAGCACAUUCAGUGCCAUAUCAAAGGGCAUCGUCGUGGUUUCCACGGGUGGUAACGAAGGACCCGAUUCACAUUCAGUAAACAACGAUGCACCAUGGAUCCUCACAGUCGGUGCUAGCUCGGUGGAUCGAAGCUUCGACAUCGGCGUGAAUCUCAGCAAUGGCAAGUGCAUCCAUGGAGAAGGGCUUAGCCAGGUGGCAAAGCCGAGGUCAAAGAUGUACCCACUCCUCUACUCCGAAGAACGAGGCAAGUUUGACUACGUGGAUAACCAUGUUGUCAGUGAGAAGAUCGUCGUCUGUGAAACAGAUGCUACCCGGGAGAACAUCGACAACAUAAUGAGUGCCGGUGCGGUCGGCGUAGUGCUAUUGAACGGUGAAUCCAACGGAUACACGAUUGAGCUUGAGGAUUACAACUCCAGUGUGGUGCAGGUGAGCACGAACGAUGGCGCCAUCCUCAGAGCCUAUGCGACAUCGACAAACAGCUCGGCGGGUGCCAUUUUCUCGUGCCACAACACACUGCUUGGUGUCCAUCCGGCCCCUGUGGUGGCAUCGUUCUCUUCCCGAGGUCCAAGCAUCGACAUCCCCGGCGUGCUCAAACCAGACAUAUUGGCACCGGGGCUCAACAUCCUUGCCGCAUGGCCGCCGGGAACGGACUCCAUACUAGGCCCUUUCAACAUCUUGUCCGGCACAUCGAUGGCAACACCACACAUUAGUGGCGUCGCCGCGCUUAUCAAGAGCUUGCAUCCAGACUGGUCCCCGGCCGCCGUCAAGUCGGCCAUCUUGACGACAGCGGACGCUGUUAACAGCACUGGCGGCUCGAUCUUGGACGAGAAUCACAAGAAAGCCGAUGCGUACGCGAAAGGCGCAGGGCAUGUGAAUCCUGCGAGAGCCGCCGACCCUGGCCUGGUCUAUGACAUGGGUAUCAUCGACUAUGCUGGUUACAUUUGUUGGCUCCUCGGCGACGAAGGCCUGGCAACCUUCGUGCAAGACAAGAGAUUGACUUGCGCGAAGCUGCCCAAGGUCAAAGACGUGCAGCUCAACUACCCAACCAUAACUGUGCCGUUGAAGUCAACAACCUUCGUCGUGAACCGAACAGUGACAAAUGUAGGGCCGCCAGCAUCAACGUACACCGUGAAGUUGGACAUGCCCAAAUCGGUCACGGUACGUGUCGCACCGAACAAGCUGGUGUUCUCCAAGGCUGGGGAGAAGAAGACGUUCGCCGUGUCGGUGAGUGGCAAGGACGUUCAUGGACAAGGACAUGUGGAGGGAAGCUUGAGCUGGGUGUCGGCGAAGCAUGUAGUGCGGAGCCCGAUCAUCGCUGUUCCUAAUCUCCCCGAAUCUCCGCCGCCUCCCGAGAAUAUUUAG
This 2259-nucleotide ribosomal RNA is filed under the name Triticum aestivum (bread wheat). Its description in RNAcentral is "partial small subunit ribosomal RNA". Lineage: Eukaryota; Viridiplantae; Streptophyta; Magnoliopsida; Poales; Poaceae. The record is from RNAcentral.